This 460-nucleotide ribosomal RNA is filed under the name uncultured bacterium. RNAcentral describes it as "bacterial SSU rRNA". It matches the Rfam family "Bacterial small subunit ribosomal RNA", at positions 29 to 534 of the family's 1533-position model. The record is from RNAcentral.
AACGAACGCUGGCGGCAUGCCUAACACAUGCAAGUCGAACGAAGUCUUCGGACUUAGUGGCGCACGGGUGCGUAACGCGUGGGAAUCUGCCCUUGGGUGCGGAAUAACUUCUCGAAAGGGAUGCUAAUACCGCAUAAUGUCGUAAGACCAAAGAUUUAUCGCCCAAGGAUGAGCCCGCGUAAGAUUAGCUAGUUGGUGGGGUAAAAGCCUACCAGGGCGACGAUCUUUAGCUGGUCUGAGAGGAUGAUCAGCCACACUGGGACUGAGACACGGCCCAGACUCCUACGGGAGGCAGCAGUGGGGAAUAUUGGACAAUGGGCGAAAGCCUGAUCCAGCAAUGCCGCGUGAGUGAUGAAGGCCCUAGGGUUGUAAAGCUCUUUUACCAGGGAUGAUAAUGACAGUACCUGGAGGAUAAGCUCCGGCUAACUCCGUGCCAGCAGCCGCGGUAAUGUGACUACUG